UAAAUACUCCCUAGUGACCGAUAGUGAACCAGUACCGUGAGGGAAAGGUGAAAAGCACCCCGGAAGGGGAGUGAAACAGUUCCUGAAACCGUGUGCCUACAAGUAGUUAGAGCCCGUUAAUGGGUGAUAGCGUGCCUUUUGUAGAAUGAACCGGCGAGUUACGAUUUGUUGCAAGGUUAAGCGGAAAAAGCGGAGCCGUAGCGAAAGCGAGUCUGAAUAGGGCGCAUAAGUAACAGGUCGUAGACCCGAAACCAGGUGAUCUACCCAUGUCCAGGAUGAAGGUAAGGUAAUACUUACUGGAGGUCCGAACCCACGCACGUUGAAAAGUGCGGGGAUGAGGUGUGGGUAGCGGAGAAAUUCCAAUCGAACUUGGAGAUAGCUGGUUCUCUCCGAAAUAGCUUUAGGGCUAGCCUCGAGGUAAAGAGUCAUGGAGGUAGAGCACUGUUUGGACUAGGGGCCCUUCUCGGGUUACCGAAUUCAGAUAAACUCCGAAUGCCAUGUACUUAUACUCGGGAGUCAGACUGCGAGUGAUAAGAUCCGUAGUCGAAAGGGAAACAGCCCAGACCACCAGUUAAGGUCCCCAAAUAUAUGUUAAGUGGAAAAGGAUGUGGGGUUGCUUAGACAACCAGGAUGUUGGCUUAGAAGCAGCCACCAUUGAAAGAGUGCGUAAUAGCUCACUGGUCGAGUGACCCCGCGCCGAAAAUGUACCGGGGCUAAACAUAUUACCGAAACUGUGGAUGAACCUCUUUAGAGGUUCGUGGUAGGAGAGCGUUCUAAGGGCGGUGAAGUCAGACCGGAAGGACUGGUGGAGCGCUUAGAAGUGAGAAUGCCGGUAUGAGUAGCGAAAGAAGGGUGAGAAUCCCUUCCACCGAAUAUCUAAGGUUUCCUGAGGAAGGCUCGUCCGCUCAGGGUUAGUCGGGACCUAAGCCGAGGCCGAUAGGCGUAGGCGAUGGACAACAGGUAGAGAUUCCUGUACCAGUGCUAAUUGUUUAACCGAUGGGGUGACACAGAAGGAUAGGGAAUCGCACGAAUGGAAAUGUGCGUCCAAGCAGUGAGUGUGAGAAGUAGGCAAAUCCGCUUCUCGCGAAGCAUGAGCUGUGAUGGGGAAGGAAAUUAAGUACGGAAGUUCCUGAUUUCACGCUGUCAAGAAAAGCCUCUAGGAAGAGUAGUACUGCCCGUACCGCAAACCGACACAGGUAGAUGAGGAGAGAAUCCUAAGGUGAGCGAGAGAACUCUCGUUAAGGAACUCGGCAAAAUGACCCCGUAACUUCGGGAGAAGGGGUGCUCUAUUAGGGUGCAAGCCCGAGAGAGCCGCAGUGAAUAGGCCCAGGCGACUGUUUAGCAAAAACACAGGUCUCUGCAAAACCGUAAGGUGACGUAUAGGGGCUGACGCCUGCCCGGUGCUGGAAGGUUAAGAGGAGUGCUUAGCUUCGGCGAAGGUACGAAUUGAAGCCCCAGUAAACGGCGGCCGUAACUAUAACGGUCCUAAGGUAGCGAAAUUCCUUGUCGGGUAAGUUCCGACCCGCACGAAAGGCGCAACGAUCUGGGCACUGUCUCAACGAGAGACUCGGUGAAAUUAUAGUACCUGUGAAGAUGCAGGUUACCCGCGACAGGACGGAAAGACCCCGUGGAGCUUUACUGCAACCUGAUAUGGAAUGUUUGUACCGCUUGUACAGGAUAGGUAGGAGCCGAAGAGACGUGUGCGCUAGCAUACGAGGAGGCAAUGGUGGGAUACUACCCUGGCUGUAUGACCAUUCUAACCCGCCACGCUUAGCGCGUGGGGAGACAGUGUCAGGUGGGCAGUUUGACUGGGGCGGUCGCCUCCUAAAGAGUAACGGAGGCGCCCAAAGGUUCCCUCAGAAUGGAUGGAAAUCAUUCGCAGAGUGUAAAGGCACAAGGGAGCUUGACUGCGAGACUGACAAGUCGAGCAGGGACGAAAGUCGGGCUUAGUGAUCCGGUGGUUCCGCAUGGAAGGGCCAUCGCUCAACGGAUAAAAGCUACCCCGGGGAUAACAGGCUUAUCUCCCCCAAGAGUCCACAUCGACGGGGAGGUUUGGCACCUCGAUGUCGGCUCGUCGCAUCCUGGGGCUGUAGUCGGUCCCAAGGGUUGGGCUGUUCGCCCAUUAAAGCGGCACGCGAGCUGGGUUCAGAACGUCGUGAGACAGUUCGGUCCCUAUCCGUCGCGGGCGCAGGAAAUUUGAGAGGAGCUGUCCUUAGUACGAGAGGACCGGGAUGGACACACCGCUGGUGUACCAGUUGUUCCGCCAGGAGCAUCGCUGGGUAGCUAUGUGUGGCAGGGAUAAACGCUGAAAGCAUCUAAGCGUGAAGCCCCCCUCAAGAUGAGAUUUCCCAUUUCUUCGGAAAGUAAGAUCCCUGAAAGAUGAUCAGGUAGAUAGGUUUGGAGUGGAAGUGUAGCGAUACAUGGAGCGGACAAAUACUAAUCGAUCGAGGACUUAACCAAAA
This 2462-nucleotide ribosomal RNA is filed under the name Listeria monocytogenes. RNAcentral describes it as "bacterial LSU rRNA". It matches the Rfam family "Bacterial large subunit ribosomal RNA", at positions 467 to 2925 of the family's 2925-position model. The record is from RNAcentral. Lineage: Bacteria; Bacillati; Bacillota; Bacilli; Caryophanales; Listeriaceae.